Molecule: long non-coding RNA, 1020 nt
Organism: Antechinus flavipes (yellow-footed antechinus)
Lineage: Eukaryota; Metazoa; Chordata; Mammalia; Dasyuromorphia; Dasyuridae
Exons: 2
Source: RefSeq, a predicted model, not a curated record
UUGGCGGGUGUCGGCUAAGCGGCCGCCGGCGCCGCAGCCACCCCGGCCGGCUGCAGGGACGGCAAGGACCGCAGGGACGGCAAGGACCGCAAGGACCGGGACAACCGCGUCGAGCGGGAGCAGCCUCCGGCCGGAGGCGAUCCGGGCCCCGACGGCGGCAGCCAGCGCUUCUCCUCGGGCCCCCGGUUCCGCAACUCACCGAGACCCUGGGCUUCUAUGAGAGCGCCCGGCACCGGGAGAAGCGCCGGAGUCGCUUAGGUUUAAGUGACUUAUGCGACGUUGUUCUGCCGAGAAGUGACAGAAUCAGAAGCCGUGCCAAGUUUCUAGAAUCUUUGACCAGUGGUUGCAAGUUGUAUAUUCCGAAACGGAUUUAAUUGUUGUCUCCAGAGACAGACUGGACUUGGAUGUGAUUUCAUUAGUCUAUACCAAUAUACAUCAGCACUUUCCUCACAUGAUGUGUAGUAGAGAGGGCUUAAGUGACUUGUCCCAUACCUACUAUGUGUCAGAGACUGGACUUGAACCCAAGUUCUCUUUCUACUACCCUCAAAAAAAGUAGGAUUGAUGUUGUGGUAAUAAUACUGUUACUGAAUAUGACAGCUGAGAAAACUGAAAUUGUCAGUGCUAUUUCAGUGAAUAUGGACUGGCUGUACCAUUUUUUUAUUCUUGCACAUCAGUUCAUAUGUAUGCACACAAGUUCUUAUUUCUCUUAUUGAAAAUUGCUAUAUUAAUUUAUAAAAUUAACUAUGAUUUAGCACUGAAAUUUGAAUUUCUGUGACUUUAAUAAUUUAAGAACCUGAAGUGUAAUAGAUGGUAUGUAGCCUAUAAUAAUAAAUAUGUUAAAUCUAGAGAAAUCCAUAGCCCGAGUGUGCAGGAAGUUGAAUUUUUAAAUUGUUCAUUUUUGCCUCAAACUCUAUUAGGUUUUUAUUUUGUUGUCAUUCCUUCUUGAAAGGAAUAUUUACUCUGAAUGGACAGGAGCUUAGUAAGAGAAAGGUAUUAAAUGUUCCUUUUGGAUAACUCUUA